AUUGAACGCUGGCGGAAUGCUUAACACAUGCAAGUCGAGCGGGCUGUAGCAAUACAGCUAGCGGCGGACGGGUGAGAAAUACAUAGGAAUCUGCCUCAGAGUGGGGGAUAGCCCGGGGAAACCCGGAUUAAUACCGCAUGAUGUCGUAAGACCAAAGCAGGGGACCGUAAGGCCUUGCGCUUUGAGAUGAGCCUAUGUCGGAUUAGCUAGUUGGCGGGGUAAAAGCCCACCAAGGCGACGAUCCGUAGCUGGUCUGAGAGGACGAUCAGCCACACCGGAACUGAGACACGGUCCGGACUCCUACGGGAGGCAGCAGUGGGGAAUAUUGGACAAUGGGCGCAAGCCUGAUCCAGCAAUUCCGCGUGUGUGAAGAAGGCCU
This 379-nucleotide ribosomal RNA is filed under the name uncultured bacterium. RNAcentral's name for it is "bacterial SSU rRNA". It matches the Rfam family "Bacterial small subunit ribosomal RNA", at positions 30 to 417 of the family's 1533-position model. The record is from RNAcentral.